UGCCAGCAGCCGCGGUAAGACGGAGGGUGCAAGCGUUGCUCGGAUUUACUGGGCGUAAAGAGCACGUAGGCGGUUUGGUAAGUUUGAUGUGAAAGCCCACGACUCAAUCGUGGAAGUGCAUUGAAUACUGCUAGACUAGAGUGCAGGAGGGGUAAGCGGAAUUCCAGGUGUAGAGGUGAAAUUCGUAGAUAUCUGGAGGAACAACGGCGGCGAAGGCGGCUUACUGGACUGAUACUGACGCUGAGGUGCGAAAGUGUGGGGAGCGAACAGGAUUAGAUA
Molecule: ribosomal RNA, 279 nt
Filed under: uncultured bacterium
Lineage: Bacteria
Description: partial 16S ribosomal RNA
Rfam family: Bacterial small subunit ribosomal RNA
Source: RNAcentral